This 464-nucleotide ribosomal RNA is filed under the name uncultured bacterium. RNAcentral describes it as "partial 16S ribosomal RNA". It matches the Rfam family "Bacterial small subunit ribosomal RNA", at positions 339 to 795 of the family's 1533-position model. The record is from RNAcentral.
CUACGGGGGGCACCAGUGGGGAAUAUUGGACAAUGGGGGAAACCCUGAUCCAGCAAUGCCGCGUGUGUGAAGAAGGCCUGCGGGUUGUAAAGCACUUUCGGUUGGGAGGACUGCUUCUAGCACUAAUAUUGUUGGAAGUUGACGUUACCUUCAGAAGAAGCACCGGCUAACUCCGUGCCAGCAGCCGCGGAAGACGGAGGGUGCAAGCGUUAAUCGGAAUUACUGGGCGUAAAGCGCGCGUAGGCGGCUAGAUCAGUCGGGUGUGAAAGCCCCGGGCUUAACCUGGGAACUGCAUCCGAUACUGGCUAGCUUGAGUACAGGAGAGGAGAGUGGAAUUCCACAUGUAGCGGUGAAAUGCGUAGAUAUGUGGAGGAACACCAAUGGCGAAGGCAGCUCUCUGGCCUGAUACUGACGCUGAGGUGCGAAAGCGUGGGGAGCAAACAGGAUUAGAUACCCGGGUAGUC